AUGUGAUCAAACUCAAUUGUAACCAAGGCAAGAGACACCAAUUGUGUGGUGGUCCUUGAGGGAACUUAGUGUUUCGUUUGAUUGAGAAGAGAAGCUCACUCGGUCUAAUUGACCGUUUGAGAGAGGGAAAGGGUUGAAAGAGAUCCAGUUUUUGUGACCACCUCAACGGGGAUUAGGUUUACAAAAAUCGAACCUCGGUAAAACAAAUCAUCGUGUCUCGCUCUUUAUUCGCUCACGAUUUGUUUUGCGCCCUCUCUAUCGGACUCGUUUCUAUUUCUAACGCUAACCUGGCUUGUAGUUUGUGCUUAAGUUUGUAAAUUUCAGAUUCACCCUAUUCACCCUCUAUAGGCGACUUUCAGGAACCUCGACUCGGAGAUAGGAUAGGACGCACAACAGUUUGGGGUCGAGCUCGGAGACGACGACCCGAGGUGGAGCUCGAGACGCGCCAUGGGAGAGGGAAGAGAGAGCUUUUGCCAGGGAGAUGCACGCCAUAGGGAGCUCGGGCCGGCGGGGAGAGCAGAGGAGCACGGCGCGCCAUGGGUGAGCUGGCCGAGCACCAGGGAGAUGGGGCGCGCGCACCAGAGGAAGAGCUGCGGCCUCCGCGGAAGCACGAACGGAGCGACCGAGCUGGUGCUUUGGCAAGCAGAGGGACGCGCGCUGCAAGGGAGAGAGGAGUGGCUGGGCGUGCACAGGGGAGCUUGGCCGGGCGCGGUGAGCUCCAGGACGCGCGGCACGGCCAUAGAACUGGAGGGCGCGCGACCAUGGAGAUGGGCGAUCGACGAUGGGGCAGAGCCGGGCUGUGGAAGAGCCAUGGCAAGGAAGCUCGGCAAGGUUGAGCGCCACGAGGGAGAAGCAGAGGGAGUACGCGCGGCCACAUGGAAGCUUCACGGCGAGGGUCUCGGCUUGGAGAUGAGAGAGAGGGCGACGCAGCAUGGAUGGGCGCCGAGCUGGAGGGAGAGGAUCCGGACGCAGGGACGCGCAGACCGAGCGACGCGAGAGCGAUGGACCGUGCACACAUGGAGGAGCACUGGCAGAGGAGAAGCUCCGCGUGCAGGGGAUUGGAGCGCGCUGGCGAGGGAAGCAGGAGCCAGAGCACUGAGGGAGAGCGAGUACCAGGGAGGCCAAGCGGCUGGGUGCUAUGGGCGAUUGGCAGAAAGAGACUUGGAACUAGGGAGGACGCCCGUGGGGAAGAAGAUGAAG
RNAcentral lists this unclassified non-coding RNA (1200 nucleotides) under Zea mays. Its description in RNAcentral is "misc RNA Zm00001eb087550". The record is from RNAcentral. Lineage: Eukaryota; Viridiplantae; Streptophyta; Magnoliopsida; Poales; Poaceae.